UGUUGUACACCUCUAGUGACGUCAUGUCACCUCCUGCUGCCGCGUGACGUCACGAGAUACCAGGAAGCUGCCGAUCCGCGCGCCUGCGCUCACUGAGAUCCGAGCUGACACUUCUUCUGACGCUUCAUCAGCAAAAUUGGUCUGAUGGAGCAAAGGCACUCAGCGCAGCCCGGU
Non-coding RNA from Petromyzon marinus (sea lamprey), 174 nucleotides. NCBI's taxonomy places the organism in Eukaryota, Metazoa, Chordata, Hyperoartia, Petromyzontiformes, Petromyzontidae. The record is from RefSeq and is a predicted model, not a curated record.